Molecule: ribosomal RNA, 1145 nt
Filed under: 'Urochloa distachya' white leaf phytoplasma
Lineage: Bacteria; Bacillati; Mycoplasmatota; Mollicutes; Acholeplasmatales; Acholeplasmataceae
Description: bacterial SSU rRNA
Rfam family: Bacterial small subunit ribosomal RNA
Source: RNAcentral
GACCUUUUUCGAAGGUAUACUUAAAGAGGGGCUUGCGGCACAUUAGUUAGUUGGUAGGGUAAAAGCCUACCAAGACCAUGAUGUGUAGCUGGACUGAGAGGUUGAACAGCCACAUUGGGACUGAGACACGGCCCAAACUCCUACGGGAGGCAGCAGUAGGGAAUUUUCGGCAAUGGAGGAAACUCUGACCGAGCAACGCCGCGUGAACGAUGAAGUAUUUCGGUAUGUAAAGUUCUUUUAUUGGAGAAGAAAAAAUAGUGGAAAAACUAUCUUGACGAUAUUCAAUGAAUAAGCCCCGGCAAACUAUGUGCCAGCAGCCGCGGUAAUACAUAGGGGGCGAGCGUUAUCCGGAAUUUAUUUGGCGUAAAGGGUGCGUAGGCGGUUUGGUAAGUCUAUAGUUUAAUUUCAGUGCUUAACACUGUCUGCUAUAGAAACUAUCAGACUAGAGUGAGAUAGAGGCAAGUGGAAUUUCCAUGUGUAGCGGUAAAAUGCGUAAAUAUAUGGAGGAACACCAGAGGCGUAGGCGGCUUGCUGGGUCUUUACUGACGCUGAGGCACGAAAGCGUGGGGAGCAAACAGGAUUAGAUACCCUGGUAGUCCACGCCGUAAACGAUGAGUACUAAGUGUCGGGGAAACUCGGUACUGAAGUUAACACAUUAAGUACUCCGCCUGAGUAGUACGUACGCAAGUAUGAAACUUAAAGGAAUUGACGGGACUCCGCACAAGCGGUGGAUCAUGUUGUUUAAUUCGAAGAUACACGAAAAACCUUACCAGGUCUUGACAUACUCUGCAAAGCUAUAGCAAUAUAGCGGAGGUUAUCAGGGAUACAGGUGGUGCAUGGUUGUCGUCAGCUCGUGUCGUGAGAUGUUAGGUUAAGUCCUAAAACGAGCGCAACCCUUGUCACUAGUUGCCAGCAUGUUAUGAUGGGCACUUUAGUGAGACUGCCAAUGAAAAAUUGGAGGAAGGUGAGGAUCACGUCAAAUCAUCAUGCCCCUUAUGAUCUGGGCUACAAACGUGAUACAAUGGCUGUUACAAAGAGUAGCUAAAACGCGAGUUUAUAGCCAAUCUCAUAAAAGCAGUCUCAGUUCGGAUUGAAGUCUGCAACUCGACUUCAUGAAGUUGGAAUCGCUAGUAAUCGCGAAUCAG